GCGCACAGAGCUGCAUAGCUCGGUGUGAAAAACUCCGGUGGUAUGAGAUGAGCCCGCGUCUGAUUAGGUAGUUGGUGAGGUAACGGCCCACCAAGCCGACGAUCAGUAGCCGACCUGAGAGGGUGAUCGGCCACAUUGGGACUGAGACACGGCCCAAACUCCUACGGGAGGCAGCAGUGGGGAAUAUUGCACAAUGGGGGAAACCCUGAUGCAGCGACGCCGCGUGAAGGACGACGUAUUUCGGUAUGUAAACUUCUAUCGGCAGGGAAGAUAAUGACGGUACCUGACUAAGAAGCCCCGGCUAACUACGUGCCAGCAGCCGCGGUAAUACGUAGGGGGCAAGCGUUAUCCGGAUUUACUGGGUGUAAAGGGAGCGUAGGCGGCUUGGUAAGUCAGAAGUGAAAGCCCAGGGCUUAACCCUGGGACUGCUUUUGAAACUGCCAGGCUUGAUUGCCGGAGAGGUAAGUGGAAUUCCUAGUGUAGCGGUGAAAUGCGUAGAUAUUAGGAGGAACACCAGUGGCGAAGGCGGCUUACUGGACGAUGACCGAC
RNAcentral lists this ribosomal RNA (549 nucleotides) under uncultured Lachnospiraceae bacterium. RNAcentral describes it as "bacterial SSU rRNA". It matches the Rfam family "Bacterial small subunit ribosomal RNA", at positions 173 to 744 of the family's 1533-position model. Lineage: Bacteria; Bacillati; Bacillota; Clostridia; Lachnospirales; Lachnospiraceae. The record is from RNAcentral.